AUACAUGCAAGUCGAGCGGACAGAAGGGAGCUUGCUCCCGGAUGUUAGCGGCGGACGGGUGAGUAACACGUGGGUAACCUGCCUGUAAGACUGGGAUAACUCCGGGAAACCGGAGCUAAUACCGGAUAGUUCCUUGAACCGCAUGGUUCAAGGAUGAAAGACGGUUUCGGCUGUCACUUACAGAUGGACCCGCGGCGCAUUAGCUAGUUGGUGAGGUAACGGCUCACCAAGGCGACGAUGCGUAGCCGACCUGAGAGGGUGAUCGGCCACACUGGGACUGAGACACGGCCCAGACUCCUACGGGAGGCAGCAGUAGGGAAUCUUCCGCAAUGGACGAAAGUCUGACGGAGCAACGCCGCGUGAGUGAUGAAGGUUUUCGGAUCGUAAAGCUCUGUUGUUAGGGAAGAACAAGUGCAAGAGUAACUGCUUGCACCUUGACGGUACCUAACCAGAAAGCCACGGCUAACUACGUGCCAGCAGCCGCGGUAAUACGUAGGUGGCAAGCGUUGUCCGGAAUUAUUGGGCGUAAAGGGCUCGCAGGCGGUUUCUUAAGUCUGAUGUGAAAGCCCCCGGCUCAACCGGGGAGGGUCAUUGGAAACUGGGAAACUUGAGUGCAGAAGAGGAGAGUGGAAUUCCACGUGUAGCGGUGAAAUGCGUAGAGAUGUGGAGGAACACCAGUGGCGAAGGCGACUCUCUGGUCUGUAACUGACGCUGAGGAGCGAAAGCGUGGGGAGCGAACAGGAUUAGAUACCCUGGUAGUCCACGCCGUAAACGAUGAGUGCUAAGUGUUAGGGGGUUUCCGCCCCUUAGUGCUGCAGCUAACGCAUUAAGCACUCCGCCUGGGGAGUACGGUCGCAAGACUGAAACUCAAAGGAAUUGACGGGGGCCCGCACAAGCGGUGGAGCAUGUGGUUUAAUUCGAAGCAACGCGAAGAACCUUACCAGGUCUUGACAUCCUCUGACAACCCUAGAGAUAGGGCUUUCCCUUCGGGGACAGAGUGACAGGUGGUGCAUGGUUGUCGUCAGCUCGUGUCGUGAGAUGUUGGGUUAAGUCCCGCAACGAGCGCAACCCUUGAUCUUAGUUGCCAGCAUUCAGUUGGGCACUCUAAGGUGACUGCCGGUGACAAACCGGAGGAAGGUGGGGAUGACGUCAAAUCAUCAUGCCCCUUAUGACCUGGGCUACACACGUGCUACAAUGGACAGAACAAAGGGCUGCGAGACCGCAAGGUUUAGCCAAUCCCACAAAUCUGUUCUCAGUUCGGAUCGCAGUCUGCAACUCGACUGCGUGAAGCUGGAAUCGCUAGUAAUCGCGGAUCAGCA
RNAcentral lists this ribosomal RNA (1319 nucleotides) under Bacillus aerius. RNAcentral describes it as "bacterial SSU rRNA". It matches the Rfam family "Bacterial small subunit ribosomal RNA", at positions 51 to 1354 of the family's 1533-position model. The record is from RNAcentral. Lineage: Bacteria; Bacillati; Bacillota; Bacilli; Caryophanales; Bacillaceae.